This 25-nucleotide non-coding RNA is filed under the name Drosophila melanogaster (fruit fly). The record is from RNAcentral. Lineage: Eukaryota; Metazoa; Arthropoda; Insecta; Diptera; Drosophilidae.
UAAGACUUUAGAAGUUUGUGUGUGC